GUCCACGCUGUAAACGAUGUACAUUAGGCGCCAGAUAGUAUCGACCCUUUUUGGUGCCAAAGCUAACGCGUUAAAUGUACCGCCUGGGGAGUACGGCCGCAAGGCUAAAACUCAAAGGAAUUGACGGGGACCCCGCACAAGCGGUGGAGCAUGUGGUUUAAUUCGACGAUAAGCGAGGAACCUUACCAGGUCUUGACAUGUAGCUGCAUAUAUUAGAAAUAGUAUAGCCUUCGAGGGUGCUACACAGGUUCUGCACGGUUGUCGU
RNAcentral lists this ribosomal RNA (265 nucleotides) under uncultured bacterium. Its description in RNAcentral is "partial 16S ribosomal RNA". It matches the Rfam family "Bacterial small subunit ribosomal RNA", at positions 793 to 1055 of the family's 1533-position model. The record is from RNAcentral.